GGCCCUUAUGUGCCCCCACAGCCUUAUUAGGAACAGGAGGAGAAUCUCGUCCUAACAUGAGCAAAGUCGAAGGUCCGAUUUCUUAAAGACCGGAUGGGGGGAGAGGCCCUUACAAUGGUCCUUGUAUGCCCCCACAGCCUUGUUAGGAACAGGAGGAGAACCUCAUCCUAAUAUGAGCAAAGUCGAAGGCCCAAUUUCUUAAAGAUCGGAUGGGGAGAGAGGUCCUUGCAACAGCCCUUAUGUGCCCCCACAGUCUUGUUAGGAACAGGAGGAGAACCUUGUCCUAACAUGAGCAAAGUCAAAGGUCCGAUUACUUAAAGACUGGAUGGGGGGAGAGGCCCUCGCAAUGGCCCUUGCAUGCCCCCACAGCCCUAUUAGGAACAGAAGGAGAACCUCAUUUUAACAUGAGCUGAAAUCGACUGUCGGGAACAAGAGGAGAACUCCACCCUGACGCCAACAAAGGCUCGAUCGAUCAGGACUGGACAAGGAGGAAAGCCUCCUCAACGACCUCUCUACACUCUCACGAUCCCGUCAAGAGUAGAGGGAAGAUCCUCACUCGAACACAAAAAAAAAGGAGAGAUGAAAAGAGAAAGCGACGAACUACGCCAGCGAUAAGUGAAAAACGAACUACAUCAAAGGCUCAAGGGACCUCGUCUCAAUGAGGAAGAAAACCCUUGUCGAAAAUCUCCAGUCCCUAAAGGCGAACCAAUACAGCAAUGAUCAAGAAUCUUCAAACAAUAUCGACAUCUAACAGGACGAAAGAUGAAAGAAGCUCGGUAAACAACGACUCAAAACAAGAAUAGACGAGGUAAUGAGAAAAAUUCCAUUUCAUUUCAUUAGUAAAGCGUGCGUUAUGAAGCCUUUGAAGGUCGAGACUCAGGAGACCUCGUCUCAAUGAGGAAGAAAAUUCUUAUCGAAAAUUUUCGAUCCCAAAGGAUGAAUCAGCACAGCGACGAUCAGGAAUCUUCAAACAACGUCGACGUCAAACAGGACGAAAAAUAAAAGAAGUUUGGUAAACGACAACUCAAUACCAAAAUGGACAAAGUAAUAAAUAAUUUUAUUUUCAUUUCAUUGGUGAAGUACACGUUACAAAACCCUGAAGGCCAAAAAUAAAAAGAGAAACGACC
This 1127-nucleotide long non-coding RNA is filed under the name Elaeis guineensis (African oil palm). RNAcentral describes it as "long non-coding RNA (EGUI_LNC077654)". The record is from RNAcentral. Lineage: Eukaryota; Viridiplantae; Streptophyta; Magnoliopsida; Arecales; Arecaceae.